UGAGGACCACCUGCCCUCAGUGAACCAGUCAUAUAGGCUUGUUCGUACGUUGAUCGACCAACAGACGGUCCAUAUCCCAUGGAAUUAUACCAUUGAGCUCUCCCAUCAGAGAGUGCAGAAUCUUGGCGAGGAAUAUAGCGUCCUGAUAUAUCAGGCGGGCUUGUUCGUACGUUGAUCGACCAACAGAUGGUCCAUAUCCCAUGGAAUUAUACCAUUGAGCUCUCCCAUCUGAGAGUGCAGAAUCUUGGAGAGGAACAUAGCGUCCUGAUAUAUCAGGCAAGCUGUAAUACUUCUUCGAGUUGGCUGCGCCAGCAACGCUCACGGCAUUUUCAUUAGAGCUAAGGUCGGUAAGAGUGUUAACAGGCUGCAUGGA
This 373-nucleotide long non-coding RNA is filed under the name Nicotiana benthamiana. Its description in RNAcentral is "long non-coding RNA (NBEN_LNC010298)". The record is from RNAcentral. Lineage: Eukaryota; Viridiplantae; Streptophyta; Magnoliopsida; Solanales; Solanaceae.